This 3213-nucleotide long non-coding RNA is filed under the name Sus scrofa (pig). RNAcentral's name for it is "lncRNA (ENSSSCG00000056448.1)". Lineage: Eukaryota; Metazoa; Chordata; Mammalia; Artiodactyla; Suidae. The record is from RNAcentral.
CACUAAGCCUAUUUUUGCUUAUUUGUAUCUAAUUGUAAUGAGCCUAUGUAUGGCAAAUUGGUGGAGAACCUUUGUGCUGAACAUGAAAGUAACCUAAUUAAAAUUGAUGACAACAAAAAACUAUAGAAAUGGAUAGGUCUCUGUAAAAUGGAUGGUUGCACUCAUGCGGCAGUUAAGAACUAUGGCAAAGAAUCUCAGGCCAAGGAUGUUACCAAGGAGUAUUUCAAAUGCAAGAAAUGAACAAUUAAAAAACUUAGCCCUUAUUUCUCAAAAAGAAAUCAAAGAGAAAUUUAGAAAUAUUUGAGAAAAAUGAAAACAAAAAACAACAUACCAAAAUUUAUGGGGUGCAGCUUAUACAGGGCUUAAUGAGAAGAAAAAAUCAAUGCUCGUAAAUGGCCAGUAGAAAACAAGAAAGAUCUGAGAUCAAUAACCUAACUUUCUAUCAUAAGAAACAAGAAAUAGAAGACUACCCUAAACCCAAAGCAAACAACAACAAAAAAGAAAUAGGACCAAUCAAAAAGUGGGCAGAUGAUCCAAAUAUACAUUUCUCCCUAAAGAAGACAGACAUAUGGCCUAAAAGCACAAGAAGAGAUGCUCAACAUCGCUAAUUAUUAAAGAAAUGCAAAUCAAAACUACAAUGAGGUAUCACCUCACACCAGUCAGAAUGGCCAUUCUCAAAAAGCUUACAAACAGUAAAUGCUGAAGAGGGUGUGGAGAAAAAGGAACUCUCCAACACUGUUGGUGGAAAUGUAAAUUGGUACAACCACUAUGAAAAACAGUAUGAAGGUUCCUUCAAAAAUUAAAUAUUAACUACCACUUGAUCCAAUAAUCCUACUCCUGACAUAUAUCCAGAGAAGACCAUACUUGAAAAGAUACAUACACGCCAGUGUUCAUUGCAGCAAUGUUUACAAUAGCCAAGGCAUGGAAGCAACCUAAAUAUCCAUCAACAGAGGAAUGGACAAAGAAAACAUGGUACCUAUAUACAAUGGGAUAAUACUCAUCUAUAAAAAGAAUGCAAUAAUGCCAUUAGCAGCAAUAUGGAUGGACCUAGAGAUUGUCAUAAUAAGUAAGUCAGAGAAGGACAAAUGCUAUACACUAUCACUUAUAUGCAGAAUCUAAUAAAAAUGAUAACAAAAGAAAAAAAAAAGAAAUAGGAAAGUUAGAAUGGAAAUUAAAAAUAAAACAGAAAAUAGAAAGUAGAGAAAAUGAAUGACACCAAAAAAUGGUGUCUUUGAAAAGAUCAACAAAAUUGAAAAAAUUGUGACUUGCCAAGCAAGACUGACCAAGGGAAAAAAGAAAGGAGUCACGUUGUUAAUAUCAGGAAUAAGAGAGGAAGUCACCACUACUGACCUUGGAGAAAUAAAUAGGAUUAUACGAGAAUACUAUGAGCAACUAUAAAGCAACAGGUUAGAUAAUUUACAUAAAAUAGGUAAAUUCCUAGAAAGACAAAAACUACUGAAGCUGACUCAAGUAGAAAAUCUGAAUGGACAUACAACAAAAAGAUUAAGUUAAUAAUUUAGAAAUCUUCCCAAAAGCAAAGUCUGAACACAGGUAGCUUCCUUGGGGAACUCCACUAAACAUUUAAAGCAUGUUUACUAACUCUUCUAGAAAACAGGGAAGGGAACACUUCACUAUUCAUUCUAUGAGACCAGUAUUACCCUGAUACUACAGGAAACCAAGGACAUCUUUAGCAAGCUAGAGACCAUAUUCCCUCAAGAAUAUAGUUGUGAACAUCAUUAAAAUGUUAGCAAACCAUCCAGCAACAUUAAAAUGGAUUAUAUGUAACAAUUAAGUAGGUGUUAUCCAAGAAUUGAUUUAGCAUCCAAUAAUCAAUUGGUGUAAUACAUUAGUAGAAAAAAGUUUUUUAAAAAUAACUCAUGAUUGUCUCAAAAGAUGCAGCAAAAGUACUUCACAAAAUUUAACACCUAUUCAUGAUAAAAACCCUCAACAAAAUAAGAACAGAAGGAACAUCCUUAAGAUGAUAAACAGCAUCUAUGAAAAACAUAUAGCUAACAUUAUACCUAAUGGUGAAAGAGUAAAUGUUUUCAUCCUAAAAUUGAGAACAAGACCAAGAUGCCCACUCUCACCAUUUCUGUGAAACCUUGUAGCAGAGGUUCUAGCCAAAGCAGGAAAAGAGAAAUAAAGGUACCUAGAUUUGAACAGGAAAAUAAAACUAUAUUCACAAACAACACUAACCUGUACAUAAAAAAUUCUAAGAAUCUACUAUAAUAGAACUAAUGAACUUGGCACAAUGAUAAAACACAAGAUCAAUAUAACAAAAGUAAACCACAUCUCUAAUAGUUGCAAUGAAUAGUCCAAAAUGAAAUUAAGAAACAAUUCCAUUCACAAUAGCAUUCAAAAGAAUAAAAUACUUAGGAAUAAAUUUAACAAGGAAAGUGCAAGAUUUGUAUUCUGAAAACUAUAAAACAUUGCUGAAAGAAAUUAGAGAUGACCUAAAUAAGUUGUGAAGAUAUGCUACAGGCAUCAAUUUGAAGACAAUAGUUUAAGAUGGAAAUACUUCCAAAAAUGGUCUAGAGAUUUGGUGUACUCCCUAUUAAAAUCUUUCUGGGCUUUUUUCAAAAGUUGACAAGCUGAAUCUAAAAUUCAUGUGGAAAUGCAAAGGACUCAGAAUAGCCAAAACCAUCUUGAAAAAGAACAAUGCUGAAGGACUUAUCUCCUGAUUGCCAACCUUACCACAAAGCUACAGUAAUCAGCAUAUCUCUAAAUACUAAUAUGGUGUGAUCUUCAGGAUAUAUUACUUAAGUUUGAAAAAGAAGAUGGAGAAAUGUAUAUAUAGAAAUAAUAAACUAUAAGUGAUAAAAUGAAAAUUUAAAUGGUUACCUAAAAAGAUGGGAAAGAGGACAAGGAUAGAAACUAAACUUCUUUGAAUAAUUCUUGAACUCUAGAUUUGAUGUUGGAAACAUGUAAAUAUUUUAUAAAAUUACCAAACAAAAUUUAAAUAGCAGUUCCUGAAUAUCAAAAUAUACAAUGGGAGUUCCCAUCAUGGUUCUAUGGAAACAGAUCUGACUAGUAUCUAUGAGGUUCGAUCCCUGGCCUCACUCGGUGGGUUAAGGAUCCAACGUUGCUGUGAGCUGUGGUAUAGGUUGCAGACGCAGCUCAGAUCCCACGUUGCUGUGGCUGUGGUGUAGGCCAGAGGCUACAUUUCCAAUUCAGGCCCUAGCCUGGAAACCUCCAUAUGCCACGGGUGCAGCC